Molecule: non-coding RNA, 182 nt
Filed under: Anaerobacillus alkaliphilus
Lineage: Bacteria; Bacillati; Bacillota; Bacilli; Caryophanales; Bacillaceae
Description: 6S / SsrS RNA
Rfam family: 6S / SsrS RNA
About the family: E. coli 6S RNA was the first non coding RNA to be sequenced, but its function was unknown until recently. It consists of 184 nucleotides that fold into an extended hairpin structure with a large single-stranded internal bulge. The 6S RNA specifically associates with RNA polymerase holoenzyme containing the sigma70 specificity factor.
Source: Rfam by way of RNAcentral
AACAUCCUGCGAUGAGCGUGACUUAAGAUGUCUCAAACCGAUGCAUUGUUAAAGGGAAUUCACAUAGUUAUUCGGACAACAAGCCAAGUAAGCUAAUUGGAAGUUGGAACAAUAACCGAGGAUACCCACCUGCUUGAGAGCGGGUAUUGAGACACUAGGAGUUACGUCAGAGCGGGACACCA